UACGAAGGGGGCUAGCGUUGUUUGGAAUUACUGGGCGUAAAGCGCACGCAGGCGGACUGAUAAGUCAGUGGUGAAAUCCCGGGGCUCAACCUCGGAAUUGCCUUUGAUACUGCCAGUCUUGAGUCCGAGAGAGGUGAGUGGAAUUCCUAGUGUAGAGGUGAAAUUCGUAGAUAUUAGGAAGAACACCAGUGGCGAAGGCGGCUCACUGGCCCGGAACUGACGCUCAGGUGCGAAAGCGUGGGGAGCAAACAGG
Molecule: unclassified non-coding RNA, 253 nt
Filed under: uncultured Alphaproteobacteria bacterium
Lineage: Bacteria; Pseudomonadati; Pseudomonadota; Alphaproteobacteria
Description: contains 16S-23S intergenic spacer region
Rfam family: Bacterial small subunit ribosomal RNA
Source: RNAcentral